RNAcentral lists this ribosomal RNA (1407 nucleotides) under Cyanobium sp. PCC 6904. RNAcentral describes it as "bacterial SSU rRNA". It matches the Rfam family "Bacterial small subunit ribosomal RNA". The record is from RNAcentral. Lineage: Bacteria; Bacillati; Cyanobacteriota; Cyanophyceae; Synechococcales; Prochlorococcaceae.
GAUGAACGCUGGCGGCGUGCUUAACACAUGCAAGUCGAACGAGCCUUCGGGCUAGUGGCGGACGGGUGAGUAACGCGUGGGAAUCUGCCCUCAGGAGGGGGAUAACGGCCGGAAACGGCCGCUAAUACCCCAUAUGCCGAGAGGUGAAAUGAAUUUCGCCUGAGGAUGAGCCCGCGUCUGAUUAGCUAGUUGGUGGGGUAAUGGCCCACCAAGGCGACGAUCAGUAGCUGGUCUGAGAGGAUGAUCAGCCACACUGGGACUGAGACACGGCCCAGACUCCUACGGGAGGCAGCAGUGGGGAAUUUUCCGCAAUGGGCGAAAGCCUGACGGAGCAACGCCGCGUGAGGGAUGAAGGCCUCUGGGCUGUAAACCUCUUUUCUCAAGGAAGAAGACAUGACGGUACUUGAGGAAUAAGCCACGGCUAAUUCCGUGCCAGCAGCCGCGGUAAUACGGGAGUGGCAAGCGUUAUCCGGAAUUAUUGGGCGUAAAGCGUCCGCAGGCGGCCUUGUAAGUCUGUCGUUAAAGCGUGGAGCUUAACUCCAUUUCAGCGAUGGAAACUACAAGGCUUGAGUGUGGUAGGGGCAGAGGGAAUUCCCGGUGUAGCGGUGAAAUGCGUAGAUAUCGGGAAGAACACCAGUGGCGAAGGCGCUCUGCUGGGCCAUAACUGACGCUCAUGGACGAAAGCCAGGGGAGCGAAAGGGAUUAGAUACCCCUGUAGUCCUGGCCGUAAACGAUGAACACUAGGUGUCGGGGGAAUCGACCCCCUCGGUGUCGUAGCUAACGCGUUAAGUGUUCCGCCUGGGGAGUACGCACGCAAGUGUGAAACUCAAAGGAAUUGACGGGGGCCCGCACAAGCGGUGGAGUAUGUGGUUUAAUUCGAUGCAACGCGAAGAACCUUACCAGGGUUUGACAUCCUGCGAAUCCCUUGGAAACGAGGGAGUGCCUUCGGGAGCGCAGAGACAGGUGGUGCAUGGCUGUCGUCAGCUCGUGUCGUGAGAUGUUGGGUUAAGUCCCGCAACGAGCGCAACCCACGUCUUUAGUUGCCAGCAUUCAGUUGGGCACUCUAGAGAGACCGCCGGUGAUAAACCGGAGGAAGGUGUGGAUGACGUCAAGUCAUCAUGCCCCUUACAUCCUGGGCUACACACGUACUACAAUGCUACGGACAAAGGGUUGCAAGCUCGCGAGAGUUAGCUAAUCCCAUAAACCGUGGCUCAGUUCAGAUCGUAGGCUGCAACUCGCCUACGUGAAGGAGGAAUCGCUAGUAAUCGCAGGUCAGCAUACUGCGGUGAAUACGUUCCCGGGCCUUGUACACACCGCCCGUCACACCAUGGAAGUUGGCCAUGCCCGAAGUCGUUACUCCAACCCUUGUGGAGGAGGACGCCGAAGGUGGGGCUGAUGACUGGGGUG